Molecule: ribosomal RNA, 415 nt
Filed under: uncultured Porphyromonas sp.
Lineage: Bacteria; Pseudomonadati; Bacteroidota; Bacteroidia; Bacteroidales; Porphyromonadaceae
Description: bacterial SSU rRNA
Rfam family: Bacterial small subunit ribosomal RNA
Source: RNAcentral
UAAGGGAUAUUGGUCAAUGGGGCGGGAGCCUGAACCAGCCAUGCCGCGUGAGGGAUUGAGGCCCUACGGGUCGUAAACCUCUUUUGCCGGGGGAUAACGGGCGCCACGUGUGGCGCCGUGAAGGUACCCGGAGAAUAAGCAUCGGCUAACUCCGUGCCAGCAGCCGCGGUAAUACGGGGGAUGCGAGCGUUAUCCGGAUUCAUUGGGUUUAAAGGGUGCGUAGGCGGCUUUGCAAGUCAGCGGUGAAAGGCCCGGGCUCAACCCGGAAAGUGCCGUUGAUACUGUGAGGCUGGAAUGCGGAUGCUGUGGGAGGAAUGAGUGGUGUAGCGGUGAAAUGCAUAGAUAUGACGCAGAACUCCGAUUGCGAAGGCAGCUUUCCAGCGCGCUACUGACGCUGAGGCACGAAAGCGUGGGG